This 253-nucleotide ribosomal RNA is filed under the name uncultured bacterium. RNAcentral describes it as "partial 16S ribosomal RNA". It matches the Rfam family "Bacterial small subunit ribosomal RNA", at positions 524 to 776 of the family's 1533-position model. The record is from RNAcentral.
UACGAAGGGUGCAAACGUUGCUCGGAAUUAUUGGGCGUAAAGCGCACGUAGGCGGCUCGGCAAGUCGGAUGUGAAAUCCCUCGGCUCAACCAAGGAAGUGCAUCCGAAACUGCUGAGCUUGAGUACUUAAGAGGAUCGCGGAAUUCCCGGUGUAGAGGUGAAAUUCGUAGAUAUCAGGAGGAACACCAGUGGCGAAGGCGGCUUCCUGGACACCAACUGACGCUGAGACGCGAAAGCGUGGGGAGCAAACAGG